GGCAGAUUCCAGGAGUGGGGCAGGGCAAAUACAAUAUGAGUCUUAAAUAUCUUGUGGUGCCAGAAGGAGUGGAUGUUAUGACAGAGGAAUGUAGGAAGGAAGGACAUCAGGCUCUGAACAUCCAUCCAUGUAAAACAUUGAAUAAGACUAGCUGUUAAACAGGGCUUUUUCCCUAGAAAGGUGUCAUAAUUUUGACUCCAUCAAAUUCUUCUAACAGCAAGUACUCAUUUGGGCCCAUUUUACAGAAGAAGGAAAACUCUUGAGUGGCUCAAUCUUGGCUCUCCACAACCUCUGCCUCCUGGAUUCAAGCGAUUCUAUUCCCCAGCAUACCAAGAAGCUGGGAUUACAGUUUUGAAGAUGAAGAAAAACCGAAGCUAUAAGGACUGAGAUAAAAUGCCAAGGACAUAUAGCUUGAAAAAGGCAUGGCUAGAAUGUGCACUCAGUAUGACCUCAGCACCCAAGCUCUUUACCAAUAUAUGCUGCAAUCUUAGGCUCAUCAACUGCACACAGUGAAUUGUGGUGCUACUUCGUCUAAGCCUGCAUUCUCCUUCAGAGCCUACACCUCCCUUUCAGCUGUUUUCACCUUCACUGUUCCAAAAAAAGCAGACUUUGAAAACUUAAGAAAUGACAUUAAAAAAAAUCAAAAUCGA
RNAcentral lists this long non-coding RNA (650 nucleotides) under Homo sapiens (human). Its description in RNAcentral is "novel transcript". Lineage: Eukaryota; Metazoa; Chordata; Mammalia; Primates; Hominidae. The record is from RNAcentral.